Molecule: ribosomal RNA, 343 nt
Filed under: uncultured bacterium
Lineage: Bacteria
Description: bacterial SSU rRNA
Rfam family: Bacterial small subunit ribosomal RNA
Source: RNAcentral
GGGCCCGCACAAGCGGUGGAGUAUGUGGUUUAAUUCGAUGCAACGCGAGAACCUUACCAGGGUUUGACAUCCUGCGAACUUUUGGAAACGAGAGAGUGCCUUCGGGAACGCAGUGACAGGUGGUGCAUGGCUGUCGUCAGCUCGUGUCGUGAGAUGUUGGUUAAGUCCCGCAACGAGCGCAACCCACGUCUUUAGUUGCCAGCAUUUAGUUGGGCACUCUAGAGAGACUGCCGGUGAUAAACCGGAGGAAGGUGUGGAUGACGUCAAGUCAUCAUGCCCCUUACAUCCUGGGCUACACACGUACUACAAUGCUACGGACAAAGGGCAGCAAGUUCGCGAGGAC